Molecule: ribosomal RNA, 253 nt
Filed under: uncultured bacterium
Lineage: Bacteria
Description: partial 16S ribosomal RNA
Rfam family: Bacterial small subunit ribosomal RNA
Source: RNAcentral
UACGUAGGGUCCAAGCGUUGUUCGGAAUCACUGGGCGUAAAGGGAGCGUAGGCGGAGCCGUAAGUUGGAAGUUUAAUACCCGGGCUUAACCCGGGACCUGCUUCCAAUACUGCGGCCCUUGAGUAAGGAAGAGGGAGAUGGAAUUCCAGGUGUAGCGGUGGAAUGCGUAGAUAUCUGGAAGAACACCGGCAGCGAAGGCGGUCUCCUGGUCCUAUACUGACGCUGAGGCUCGAAAGUUAGGGGAGCAAACAGG